This 497-nucleotide ribosomal RNA is filed under the name uncultured bacterium. RNAcentral describes it as "partial 16S ribosomal RNA". It matches the Rfam family "Bacterial small subunit ribosomal RNA", at positions 28 to 507 of the family's 1533-position model. The record is from RNAcentral.
GAUGAACGCUGGCGGCGUGCCUAAUACAUGCAAGUCGAGCGAACAGAUGAGGAGCUUGCUCCUCUGACGUUAGCGGCGGACGGGUGAGUAACACGUGGAUAACCUACCUAUAAGACUGGGAUAACUUCGGGAAACCGGAGCUAAUACUGGAUAAUAUAUUUAACCGCAUGGUUCAAUAGUGAAAGACGGUUUUGCUGUCACUUAUAGAUGGAUCCGCGCCGCAUUAGCUAGUUGGUAAGGUAACGGCUUACCAAGGCAACGAUGCGUAGCCGACCUGAGAGGGUGAUCGGCCACACUGGAACUGAGACACGGUCCAGACUCCUACGGGAGGCAGCAGUAGGGAAUCUUCCGAAAUGGGCGAAAGCCUGACGGAGCAACGCCGCGUGAGUGAUGAAGGUCUUCGGAUCGUAAAACUCUGUUAUUAGGGAAGAACAAAUGUGUAAGUAACUAUGCACGUCUUGACGGUACCUAAUCAGAAAGCCACGGCUAACUACGUG